CGAUUGUAAUUCCAGCUCCAAUAGCGUAUAUUAAUGUUGUUGCAGUUAAAAAGCUCGUAGUUGAAUCUUGAAUGUUCAUCAAGUUUGGUUUACAUUUUUAUGUAUAACUACUUGAUUGCAUUCUUCCUACUAGUAAUUCGAUACUGUACUUAAUUGUAUGGUAUAGUGAUUCUUCGGAGUCAUCGUUAUAGUGGAGUUGCUCCUCAAAUAAUUGGAUUGGUGUAAAAGUCAUGAAGAUUAUUUAGGGGAAUCAGUAAAUCUAUUAUAAUGGAAUUCUAGUUCAUUUACUUUGAGAAAAUUAGAGUGUUUAAGGCAGCCUCUUGGGGCACUGAAUAUAUUAGCAUGGGAUAAUAAAAUAGGAUUCAUAUCAUAAAUUUGUUGGUUUGAAUGAUGUAAAUAAUGAUUAAUAGGGACAGUUGGGGGUAUUUAUAUUGGAUGGUUAGCGGUGAAAUGCAUGGAUCCAUUCAAGAUAAACUAAAGCGAAAGCAUUUACCAAGGAUGUUUUCAUUAAUCAAGAACGAAGGUUAAGGGAUCGAAGAUGAUUAGAUACCGUCGUAGUCUUAACAGUAAACUAUGCCGACUAGGGAUAUGAGAUGUUAUAAAACAUGCAAAUGUUUUAACUUCUUCUUGUGAACCUUGUGAGAAAUCAUAAGUUUUUGGGUUCUGGGGGGAGUAUGGUCGCAAGGCUGAAACUUAAAGGAAUUGACGGAAGGGCAC
Molecule: ribosomal RNA, 717 nt
Filed under: Vannella sp.
Lineage: Eukaryota; Discosea; Flabellinia; Vannellidae
Description: bacterial SSU rRNA
Rfam family: Eukaryotic small subunit ribosomal RNA
Source: RNAcentral